AAUAAGAGUUAUAUUUGGCAUCAACUGUCUUCCCAAAGAACAGCUGGUGGUGUCCUUGUGGGCAUGAAUAGUGAUAUAUAUGAGAUCAUUGGCUUUGUCAAUAGAGAGUUUUGUGAAGUUUGUCUGGCAAUUUGUUGUGAUUUAUGGUACGUCCUACAAUGAGCAUAAGAUGGAAUUUAUUGCGGAGUUACAUGAGGUGACGAGUAAUUCUUCAUAUCCCAUUAUUUUGGGUGGUGAUUUUAAUCUUAUUAGGUCUGACUCUAAUAAGAGUAGU
This 274-nucleotide long non-coding RNA is filed under the name Hordeum vulgare. Its description in RNAcentral is "long non-coding RNA (HVUL_LNC016500)". The record is from RNAcentral. Lineage: Eukaryota; Viridiplantae; Streptophyta; Magnoliopsida; Poales; Poaceae.